Non-coding RNA from Dryococelus australis, 72 nucleotides. The record is from the annotation of a GenBank genome assembly. NCBI's taxonomy places the organism in Eukaryota, Metazoa, Arthropoda, Insecta, Phasmatodea, Phasmatidae.
AGAAAGAUUGCGGAGUGGUAAACCACUAGACUCGCAAUCGAGAAGAUGUGGGUUCGAAUCCCAGUCCGGCUU